This 506-nucleotide ribosomal RNA is filed under the name uncultured bacterium. RNAcentral describes it as "partial 16S ribosomal RNA". It matches the Rfam family "Bacterial small subunit ribosomal RNA", at positions 29 to 523 of the family's 1533-position model. The record is from RNAcentral.
AGUGAACGCUGGCGGUAGGCCUAACACAUGCAAGUCGAACGGCAGCACAGAGGAGCUUGCUCCUUGGGUGGCGAGUGGCGGACGGGUGAGGAAUACAUCGGAAUCUACUCUGUCGUGGGGGAUAACGUAGGGAAAAUUACGCUAAUACCGCAUACGACCUACGGGUGAAAGCAGGGGAUCUUCGGACCUUGCGCGAUUGAAGGAGCCGAUGUCGGAUUAGCUAGUUUGCGGGGUAAAGGCCCACCAAGGCGACGAUCCGUAGAUGGUCUGAGAGGAUGAUCAGCCACACUGGAACUGAGACACGGUCCAGACUCCUACGGGAGGCAGCAGUGGGGAAUAUUGGACAAUGGGCGCAAGCCUGAUCCAGCCAUACCGCGUGGGUGAAGAAGGCCUUCGGGUUGUAAAGCCCUUUUGUUGGGAAAGAAAUCCAUCUGGUUAAUACCCGGGUGGGAUGACGGUACCCAAAGAAUAAGCACCGGCUAACUUCGUGCCAGCAGCCGCAGUAA